RNAcentral lists this ribosomal RNA (253 nucleotides) under uncultured bacterium. Its description in RNAcentral is "partial 16S ribosomal RNA". It matches the Rfam family "Bacterial small subunit ribosomal RNA", at positions 524 to 776 of the family's 1533-position model. The record is from RNAcentral.
UACGGAGGGGGCUAGCGUUGUUCGGAAUUACUGGGCGUAAAGCGCACGUAGGCGGAUCGUUAAGUCGGGGGUGAAAUCCUGGAGCUCAACUCCAGAACUGCCUCCGAUACUGGCGAUCUCGAGUCCGGGAGAGGUGAGUGGAACUGCGAGUGUAGAGGUGAAAUUCGUAGAUAUUCGCAAGAACACCAGUGGCGAAGGCGGCUCACUGGCCCGGUACUGACGCUGAGGUGCGAAAGCGUGGGGAGCAAACAGG